This 99-nucleotide non-coding RNA is filed under the name Leeuwenhoekiella marinoflava. Its description in RNAcentral is "TPP sequence". It matches the Rfam family "TPP riboswitch aptamer (THI element)". From Rfam's summary of the family: Vitamin B(1) in its active form thiamin pyrophosphate (TPP) is an essential coenzyme that is synthesised by coupling of pyrimidine and thiazole moieties in bacteria. The previously detected thiamin-regulatory element, thi box was extended, resulting in a new, highly conserved RNA secondary structure, the THI element, which is widely distributed in eubacteria and also occurs in some archaea. Lineage: Bacteria; Pseudomonadati; Bacteroidota; Flavobacteriia; Flavobacteriales; Flavobacteriaceae. The record is from RNAcentral.
AGUAAACUUUAGGGGCGCUGAUAUAUAAUAUCGGCUGAGAUAGUACCCUUUGAACCUGAUCUGGUUAGUACCAGCGAAGGGAAAAGUGAAAAUCGUUUU